CAUGCUCUCUCCUAAUUUCCCUCUAACCUAAUUUUUCCUCUACCUCGCCGUCUCCUUCCUCAACCGAACCUCGCCGUCUCCUUCCUCAACCGAACCUCGCCGUCUCCUUCCUCAACCGAAUCAUGCUCUCUCCUUCCUCAAAUCGGUCCUCUCUCUCAUGAUUUCAGAUCUUUCUCUUCUCUAAAUCCAUUUCCUUCAAGAGAAAAUCGUGAACGAUUUGCAGUAGUUUGCAGCCGCUCAUCUUCGUUUCUCACAACUUCCUUUCAAGCAACUCCAAAAUGACUAAGAGAACCAAGAAGGUCGGUAUUGUUGGCAAAUACGGGUUGUGUUCGAUGUAGAAUGAAAUGGGGAUCGAAACUGAUGUCGUGACGAUGCAAAGUGAAGUUCGAACUGUUUCUUGUUCUCACUUCUCUCACUCAUUCAUUCUCAGAUUUCUUUAUUUUUAAUUUAGGGUUUGUGAUGAUUGUUGUUGUUUACAGGUGAGUAAAGGACUUUGAACCAGUAAUCUCACUCUACAAGUGAUUAGGGUUUGUUGACUUCUUUUAUUUCUUUAUGCAGCUUCCAACUCAGUUAUAUAUGGUAGUGGUAAGCACUCUAGCUGAAGACUAAUGAGUUAUGUUACCUAGGAAAUCGUUAUUGUUAUCUGAAUUUCCAUUUCUCAAUUAGACUGUACGAUGUUACAUUUUUACUGAUGUAUUGAUAUGCAGUUGUAUACCUUUGUAACUGUAGCACUUGGUUCACAAUCCAUUUACUAUGGAUACAUAUACAAGAGACAGCUCAAAAUGCAAAUUCGGAUCCCUAUGCUGAGAUACAUUCAGUAAACUCAAAUUGUGUAAUACAACACUUUCAUCUGUAUUCUAUCAUUGCAUGAAUAAGCAGGUUGAGACACCAACAAAAGUCAGUGAUGCUGAACAGAGUCAUGGAUUUGAUGAUUUCAGUAGAGGCGCUGUUCUGAGUUCUCCUAUCUACCGGAAGAGAAUUAUUCCAGCAAACCUUCCAAGCAUAUCUACCGGAAGAGAAUUAUUCUACCAAAGCAUCGUUUCAGCAACAAUCAUUGGACAUCGGUCAUCACGAUUCUGAAUGAUAGACCUUAGCGCUUGAUAUUCAGUUGGAGGUCCACCGAGAAUCCUCUCCAACUGAUCAUGAUGUGAGAUUGGAUCUCCAAUUGAUUAAAGAAUGUCUGCCAUAUACUGAAUGUGACCUAGGGACUUCGGAUGUCGUCUAAGCUAUGUACUCUGGAAUUCAUAAUCAUCAAGUAACCUUUUGGAUGUCGUCUAAGCUAUGUACUCUGGAAUUCAUAAUCAUCAAGUAACCUUUUGGACUUUUGGUGCUGCUGAACAAUGACACCAAAAUACACUCUUAUCACUUGAAUGGAUAUGCAUUUUUGUGUUAAUGUAUCAGCCAAUGGUCUAUUUUCUUUUUCUUUCUUGUUAAGUUGGUUGAAAGGGAAGAGCAUAUCCAUCUAACUAAAUUGUAUUGUUAUGUAUCUCUCUCAGGAAUCUGGAUAAAUAUCGGUCACCGACUAUGUCGGAGUGACGAGCACGGAAUGUUUAAAGGCUUUUGAAAAAGAGUGGCUCAUCUGACAUCUUGAUUUUCAUAAUUUCGUUGAAUAUUUAUACUCCAAAACACAAGCUGCACUAAGUGGAAGAAGGUUGUCCUGAAGAUGUGGAAGAACAAGGAAAACAGUAGAAGAAGUUGCAGCUCUUGUAAGGUCUUUGCCUGGAGAAGAGCAGCCAAUCUUGACAUAAUAAUGCCUUUGGCAGCAAAGGUGGAGGUUGCACUAAAAGAUCUUAUACUUUCUGAUUAUGCAAAGAAAAACAAUGCGCAUGCAUGAAGCAAACCAAGUGAUAGUUGUAACAACAAAGAUUGUGAUUGAGAUAUGGAAGAAGCUUGUGAUCAUGAAGAUGUGGAAGAAGGUUGUCCUGAAGAUGUGGAAGAACAAGGAGAUUAUCAAGAAGAAUAUUAAGAAGUUGUGUUUUAUAUUAUCUAGCUAUCUAGUUCUUAGAACUUUUGUUGUUAUUUUGGGAUGACUCUUUGAGAGAAACUUGUGUUUAAUUUA
This is a long non-coding RNA of Vicia villosa (hairy vetch), 2059 nucleotides long. RefSeq lists it as uncharacterized. The transcript has 8 exons. The record is from RefSeq and is a predicted model, not a curated record. Lineage: Eukaryota; Viridiplantae; Streptophyta; Magnoliopsida; Fabales; Fabaceae.